RNAcentral lists this ribosomal RNA (450 nucleotides) under uncultured prokaryote. RNAcentral describes it as "bacterial SSU rRNA". It matches the Rfam family "Bacterial small subunit ribosomal RNA", at positions 355 to 796 of the family's 1533-position model. The record is from RNAcentral.
UCGGGAAUUUUGGGCAAUGGGCGCAAGCCUGACCCAGCAACGCCGCGUGAAGGAUGAAGGCCCUCGGGUCGUAAACUUCUGUCGGAAGGGAAGAAGGGCUUGAUUUCAAAUAGGCUUCAAGUCUGACGGUACCUUCAAAGGAAGCGCCGGCUAACUCCGUGCCAGCAGCCGCGGUAAUACGGAGGGCGCAAGCGUUGUUCGGAAUCACUGGGCGUAAAGCGCGUGUAGGCGGCACGGCAAGUUGGUUGUGAAAUCCCGGGGCUCAACCCCGGAACUGCAACCAAAACUGCCGAGCUUGAGUCUCGGAGAGGGUGGCGGAAUUUCCGGUGUAGAGGUGAAAUUCGUAGAUAUCGGAAGGAACACCAGUGGCGAAGGCGGCCACCUGGACGAUGACUGACGCUGAGACGCGAAAGCGUGGGUAGCAAACAGGAUUAGAUACCCCCGUAGUCC